Aethalodelphis obliquidens (Pacific white-sided dolphin) is the source of this 660-nucleotide long non-coding RNA. RefSeq lists it as uncharacterized. NCBI's taxonomy places the organism in Eukaryota, Metazoa, Chordata, Mammalia, Artiodactyla, Delphinidae. The transcript has 2 exons. The record is from RefSeq and is a predicted model, not a curated record.
CUUGAGGCUGCUUGGUCGCGGCUACCGCCCUCCACCCUCAACCCGCACCCAUUCCCCAGUUCCUCUGGCCAAAGGAGUGUGUGUUUUUCAGAAUUUCAGAGCUAGAACGCACAUCAGGCAGCUAAGACUGAGAAGACUGGUGCCCACCGCCGGCCGAGGGCCGUUCCAACCUGCUGAUUUGAGGAGGAGUCUGGGAUCCUUCACCUUUCUCGCUGGAUCGAUUGUACUUGGAGCUCUAGCGACAGAAGUAGCAGCUCUGCCGCCUGGUGGACAUAUGAGGCAGAGCACCCUUCUUCAAUUCCAGAAGCAGCAUCACGGCUAGGGGAAGAGAUUUUCUUUGUUCACUGAUGGAAAUAGCAAAACUUGGCAGAAAAAAUAAUCCCAGUUUUUUCUCUCUUCAGUUUAUUUCUGAGGAUCUGAGUGAUUUGGAUGCAGAAAACACUUCUGUUGUUUCUCUCGCCCGGACUGCUUUUUUUCCUUCUGCCAAGUUUUGUUAUCUCCAUCAGAGUGAACAAGGUUUCCUUGCCCCUUCUCUCAAACCCUAUUUCAAAUUCCAUCUCCUUCAUAACAACUUUUCUGACUCCUCUCCUGUAUAUCUUAUGAAAUACAGCUGUGCACAGACCCAGCACACAGAGCACAGCUUACAUGCUGUCUUUUUUU